GACGAACGCUGGCGGCGUGCUUAACACAUGCAAGUCGAACGGAAAGGCCCUGCUUUUGUGGGGUGCUCGAGUGGCGAACGGGUGAGUAACACGUGAGUAACCUGCCCUUGACUUUGGGAUAACUUCAUGAAACUGGGGCUAAUACCGGAUAGGAGCUCCUGCUUCAUGGUGGGGGUUGGAAAGUUUCGGCGGUUGGGGAUUGACUCGCGGCUUAUCAGCUUGUUGGUGGGGUAGUGGCUUACCAAGGCUUUGACGGGUAGCCGGCCUGAGAGGGUGACCGGCCAAAUUGGGACUGAGAUGAGGCACAGCCUACUACGGGAGGCAACAGUGGAGAAUGUUGCACUAUGGGAGGGAGCCUGAUGCAGCAAAGCCGCGUGCGGGAUGAGGGCAUUGGGGUUGUAAACCGAUUUCGCCUGUGCCGAAGCGUGAGUGACGGUAAUGGGUAAAGAAGCCCCGGCUAACUACGUG
Molecule: ribosomal RNA, 468 nt
Filed under: uncultured bacterium
Lineage: Bacteria
Description: partial 16S ribosomal RNA
Rfam family: Bacterial small subunit ribosomal RNA
Source: RNAcentral